RNAcentral lists this ribosomal RNA (460 nucleotides) under uncultured bacterium. RNAcentral's name for it is "partial 16S ribosomal RNA". It matches the Rfam family "Bacterial small subunit ribosomal RNA", at positions 338 to 795 of the family's 1533-position model. The record is from RNAcentral.
CCUACGGGAGGCAGCAGUGAGGAAUAUUGGUCAAUGGCCGGAAGGCUGAACCAGCCAAGUAGCGUGAGGGAUGACUGCCCUAUGGGUUGUAAACUUCUUUUAUAUGGGAAUAAAAUGUUCCACGUGUGGGUUUUUGUAUGUACCAUAUGAAUAAGGAUCGGCUAACUCCGUGCCAGCAGCCGCGGUAAUACGGAGGAUCCGAGCGUUAUCCGGAUUUAUUGGGUUUAAAGGGAGCGUAGGUGGGUUGUUAAGUCAGUUGUGAAAGUUUGCGGCUCAACCGCAAAAUUGCAGUUGAUACUGGUAGUCUAGAGUACAGUUGAGGUAGGCGGAAUGUGUGGUGGAGCGGUGAAAUGCUUAGAGAUCACGAAGAACACCGAUUGCGAAGGCAGCUUACCAAACUGUAACUGACAUUGAGGCUCGAAAGCGUGGGUAUCAAACAGGAUUAGAUACCCGAGUAGUC